This 385-nucleotide long non-coding RNA is filed under the name Pongo abelii (Sumatran orangutan). RNAcentral's name for it is "lincRNA". The record is from RNAcentral. Lineage: Eukaryota; Metazoa; Chordata; Mammalia; Primates; Hominidae.
CAGGUUCUGCCGCUCCCCGAGACCUGCAGAUUCCUGGUCUCCGGGUCCUGGGUCCCGGACGUGUCCGUCAGGGCGUCCAUUAGGGCCAUUACCUAAUGGACAAGCAUCAGGGAGACACUGGCCUAAGCAUAAGCCUUGAGGGUCUGUCCUGUACUAAACAAGCGCUUAAUCAGAGGAUGUGGCUUCUGUGGGAGAGCUUCAAAGGGUGCCCUACUUGCCCCUCUUGGUAACCAUGACAUCAUGGAAAUGGGAGGGGACCGCCCCAGCCCCCAAACACCUGGAGGGAAGUGGGAGACUUUUUCCACUUCCUGUUCUACUUGUGGCUACUGACUCAAUGUCUGACCUGUUUAUUAAUUGCAAAAUAUAGCUCUAUGUGUGCUACCCA